This is a long non-coding RNA of Myzus persicae (green peach aphid), 3864 nucleotides long. RefSeq lists it as uncharacterized. The transcript has 2 exons. NCBI's taxonomy places the organism in Eukaryota, Metazoa, Arthropoda, Insecta, Hemiptera, Aphididae. The record is from RefSeq and is a predicted model, not a curated record.
AUGGUAAUUAUUCACAGCUAAUAUAAAACAUCACCAAUGUACAUUCCGUGUAGUGGUUUUACUGAUUUAUGAAAUAUUUUUACAUGUAUUACCCAUAAUAAUAUGUUUGGUCAUUCAGCAUAAUUGUGUAUUUGUGUAGAGAUACUGCAAUAUCUGUGAAAAAUGUCUGCGUUCGUUUCUGAGGCGAAAUCGGAACUCCCGACAUCUUCAACACAUAUUGAUUCAUCUUACAUUUUUUUAUUCUUCUCACUUUUUUUUUAUUUAAUGCGUGGUUCGCUAUAAAAACAAUCAUGGGAUAUUUAACCUUGCAGUCACUCAAGUUAAUAUUGUGGAUGUUUUGAAUUUUUAUUUAGUAUUUUAUAAUUAACUCUAUAAUGUUGUAUAAUACUCUAUUAUAUAUGUAGGUGUAGUUAGAUAUUAUUUACCUUCAGUGAAUUCAGGAGCAAAUGCAUCCAUUAAAUGUUUAUUAAUUGUUCAUGCAACCCGGCAUAAGAAUACUUUUUAAUCAUUAUAUAACUCGAAACAGGUAUGAAAAUAACACUUCAGGUUCAGGGUCCCUAAGAGUUCACCAAAUUGUUGGCAACUAACUUAAAUAGAGGUGCUGGGUACUGUGCAUCUACUAGAAAGAUAGUUAUAGGUGAUUGGUUUCAAAUUACCACAGUAAGCAAUAAUUUAAUAAUUAUCGGUAUACCUAUGUAGUAACAGAUAAGGGAUAAGGGUUUUCACCUGUGGUGGCCUGGCCAAUCUAGGUAAGUUCCUAAAUUAUACAUAAUAGGUAAAAAACAUAUUUAAGUUCCAAUACGACGAUUUAAUAGACAUAAAUUUGGUUACAAAUAAUAUUUCUUUCACAAUACACUAUUCAUAGUAUAACUUAUAUGGUUAAACAGACAGUGUGUACCUACCUAUUGUUUAUCUUAUGUCAUCGUGCUCUCGUUUUUUUUUUUAUGAUUAUGGAUCGAUAAUAUGGAUUAUUUGUAAUUUUAACUGUUUAUUGUAAUUUCAAAAUUUGUAAUCACGCAGUUGCACCAACAGCAAAACAAAAGUUAUUUUUCAAAUAGUAAUAAUUAUAUUCUUUAAUGGAUUUUGGUAUUGCAUUUAUCCUGAAAAUGCUUAUAGAAAAAAUAUCAAUUUUGGUUCAUCAUUAGGCAGUAAUAUAAUUAUUACGAUUCUCUUAAGUUUAGUAAAUGUACUAAUAAUUUUAUAUUAUUAAUUGGAGUAAUUGGUAUACACUUAAUUUACUAGAGCUUUACUUUACUUGAAAUGUUUAUGCAAUUUCGUAUUUUUUUAUACAUUUAGGUAAACCAGUAAUCUAAUGACAUAAUCCAUAAAAAAAUGUAUUCGAUUUUGGGAUAACCCAAUUUACAAGAUAGUUGUCAAACAUAGUUAAUUAUUUUUAAUUUAUCUACAAUCAUAAAAUAAGUAUCACUAUUGUAAUUAUUAUAAUCAUUAUAAUUUUGAUUAAUUGAUUACUUUACUUUUUAUUCUUCAUAGUUACUUUUCUUACAAUAGUAUAAUAUUUCAUUCCUUUUUUAGUUAUCUAAGGUAACAAUUGUGUUCGAUUAUUAUUAUAAUAAUAUUGGAAAUGUUUAAUUCACUCUGAUUGGAGGUUUAACUAAUGUUUAACCAUCAUAUAUUGUCAUAAUGACUGUUUAUGUAAAUAUAAUCCUGCAAAUGCUUUAUUUUUAAUCAUGAUUAUUAAAAGAUUUUUGUUACCUAACUUAAGAAAACUUCGAGCAUCGGCAAUACGAUGUUUGGCAUAUAUUAAUAAACAUAGGUAAGACUAAGGGUUAGGCCAGUUAGACCAUGGUCUGACCUAAUACUUGUUUUCUAGAAUUUAAAUUUCAAAUCAAAAACCUUUUUUUGUGAUUAAAAUGUUUUUUCAUAUUUAUUAUUUGGCCUAUCCCUAUAAAACUAUCAAGUUUCACUUAUGUUAAUAAACCAAAAAUGUAUCAACCAUUUAAAAUUUACAUUUUUCAAUAGUUAGGGUAAAGGAUGACGAGCGACGAGUAGAAUUCUGUGAAACCAUUUUGGAAAAAAUAAGGUAUGAUGUAGAUUUAAUAAAACAUAUUGUGUUUAGUGACAAAUUAUCACUUUCCCUUUAUGGAUAAGUGAACUCCUCGAACUGAUCGUUAUUGGUCUGACGUCUCUGACUCCAUUACUAUAAUUCCCAUGUCACGAUACAAGCACUAACUUAAUAUUUUUUUUAGUUGAUUGAAUUUCCAAUGUUAAGGUAUAGUGAUUUAAAAUAAACCAUAUAUUUACAUACAUAUUCAAUAUCAAUUGGUACAUAGUUAAGUUUAUUAUUCAAUCUGAGUUAAUAAUUCAUUUUCAACAUUAUUAUAAUAAUAAUUGAAUAAAAGAACCCAAGUACAUGGUAUUGUGAGAAAAGUAACUGUAAAGAAAAAAGGUAUUUAUCCUAAAAUCAAAUACAUUUUUUUGUGGAGUGUGUCAUUAGAUCGCCGAUUUAAGUGUAAAAAGAUAGUUAAAAAACAAAUUAUUUAGCUCUAGUAAAUUUAAUUUAUACCAACUACUUCAAUUAAAAGUGGGUAUUAAUUUAUUAAACUUAAGAGGACUGUAGUUAAUAAGCUAGGUAACCAAAAUUGAAAUUUGACUAUCAAAUUGUCAGAUACAAUGCUCUACCAGAAACCAUUAAAAAUUAUAGUUGUUACCAUUUGAAGAAAUAAAGUUAAUUUUGCUGUUGGUUCAACUGCGUGCUUAAAAAUUUGACGUAAUAAUAAAAUUGCCAGUUAAAAAUAAUAUUCACGUAUUUUUUCGUUUUUCCGAAAUUCCAUGUUAUGGAUCCAUAAUUAUUAAAAAAACCACACGUAUAACGACAGAAGAUAGGUAUACCUAUGUAUAAGUGUAUAACCAUAUUAUUCACUAUUCUGUGAUAGAAAUAUAUAGAAUAGAGAUUACAUUACUUCACAUACACUUCCUGAAUAUUGUAUACCUACUAGUAAUAGUAUACUGCUAUAAUAGUAAUAAUAAUAUACUCAAGAUACAUUUCAGAUUUAAAAUUAUUUUAUAUUCCAAUCGUCUUCAAAAACAAUAAAAAAAACGUUUUAUGGACAGAUUACAAAUCGUACAAGGUAUAUUAGUACUUUCUUGAUCAUUUCCUCUUAGAAAUUUUAAUUGAUUAAAUCUCGAAACUCAAAAGUCGGUUUAUUAAUCUGUUAAUUUUUUCGACCAUAGUAAUAUUAGUGUUAACUGUUAAGUAAACUUGAUGAUUGAUAUUUUGGCCACAUUUCAGUGUUCAUAUUCAAGGAAUUCAAUAAUUAUUCUAACAGCUUUUAGCUUACAUGGAUAUUGCCCAAAACAGCAAAAGGCUUGUUAUGAAUCAUGAUGUAAAUAAAUUAACAUAUCAUCUGUUUUGUGGAACUUAACUGUGUAAACUAUUUUAUCAUUAUGUUGGAACUUACCACGAACAAUUUUAAAUACCUUUAGAUCGAAACGUUGACUUCCUUGUAAAAUCUUACCAAACCUUUAUUAUAGUGAACUCCACUGUAAUUAGGUUAGGUAUCUAAUUACAGCGGUCUAACGGAUCAGUGGAAGAAUGGUACAUGUACGUAUUUACUACUAAGAAAUGUAGACAAGACAUAAAUAAUAUAAGAAAAAAACUAAUACAAUGAAAUUCUUAUACGGACAAAUGAUAAAUAAUAUUAGGAAUCUAGUUUAAAAAAUGUAUACCCGGGGGCGUAUUUAAGGGGGAUAAUGGGCCAGUGACAUUCACCUUAAUUAUAUACUUUAUUACAUACAUAGUUUGUAAAAGGUAACUGUGAGAAACCGAGAACCCUCUAUUAUAAAUUUCUAAAUACGCUCCUGUGUACUCCUUUAGCAAAAAGUCCAGCUCCCCAAUAGUUAAUU